This 478-nucleotide unclassified non-coding RNA is filed under the name Hevea brasiliensis (rubber tree). The record is from RNAcentral. Lineage: Eukaryota; Viridiplantae; Streptophyta; Magnoliopsida; Malpighiales; Euphorbiaceae.
UUGACAUGGACAAACAGACAAAACAAAAGAAAUUAGGGAAACAAUAGAACAAGAAGAUUUCAAUUAGUAGCCACAAACUCCCUAAAAGAAGUGGUUGGCCAACCAAACCCUAUAUUGCAUCAAGUCAUCAACAUUUGUCCCUUCAAAGUUACUUUUUUCUUAUUCUUUUCUUAUCUUUGUUGUUCUUCCCCUUCUUUUUAUCUUGAGCAAGAAUUUAUUCUAUCUUAUAGUUGGUGGUUUAGUUCUCUUCUCUUAUUUGUUUAUAUAGAUAACUAAACAUUGUCAAAAAAAUCCUCAAUGUAUUUUGUAUGUUUAAUUUGUUGCAAAAAGAUCAUAUGUUAAAGGAUAGGCUCAAUGUGCUUGGUUUCACAGAAGUUCAAGCAGUCAGUUUCAAUACUAAAUAAAUGCUGCCAAUGAAGGAAAAAUAUAUUAGAUAGUCUAUAAUUAAGAUAAUGCAGAAUAGCAAGAAACUUCAAAA